GACAGAGGGCGCGGGUGAUAUUCGUUUUGAUUGGGUGUAAAGGGUAUGUAGGCGGUACUUUGUUGUUCGAUAAAAAGCGCGGAGUGUUCCUACGCGUCUAUCUUUGAAAAUAAGCACUUGAGUUGAAGAAGGGUUGGGGCAAAUUCUUAAGUAGGGGUAAAAUCCCACCAUAUGAGAACGAACGCCGACUGGCGAAGGCGCCUUUCUAGUUUCAACUGACGCUAAGGUACGGAGGCUUAGGGAGCAAACGGG
RNAcentral lists this ribosomal RNA (252 nucleotides) under uncultured bacterium. RNAcentral describes it as "partial 16S ribosomal RNA". It matches the Rfam family "Bacterial small subunit ribosomal RNA", at positions 524 to 776 of the family's 1533-position model. The record is from RNAcentral.